This 497-nucleotide ribosomal RNA is filed under the name uncultured bacterium. RNAcentral describes it as "partial 16S ribosomal RNA". It matches the Rfam family "Bacterial small subunit ribosomal RNA", at positions 28 to 507 of the family's 1533-position model. The record is from RNAcentral.
GAUGAACGCUGGCGGCGUGCCUAAUACAUGCAAGUCGAGCGAACGGACGAGGAGCUUGCGUCUCUGAUGUUAGCGGCGGACGGAUGAGUAACACGUGGAUAACCUACCUAUCAUACUGGGAUAACUUCGGGAAACCGGAUCUAACACCGGAUGAUAUUUUGCACCGCAUGGUUCAAAAGUGAAAGACGGUCUUGGUGUCACUUAUAGAUGGAUCCGCGCUGCAUUGGCUAGUUGGGAAGGUAACGGCUUACCAAGGCAACGAUGCAUAGCCGACGUGAGAGGGGGAUAGGCCACACGGGAACUGAGCCACGGUCCAGACUCCUACGGGAGGCAGCAGUAGGGAAUCGUACGCAAUGGGCGAAAGCCUGACGGAGCAACGCCGCGUGAGUGACGAAGGUCCUCGGAUCGUAAAACUCUGUUAUUAGGGAAGAACAUAUGUGUAAGUAACUGUGCACAUCUUGACGGUACCGAAUCAGAAAGCCCCGGCUAACUACGUG